Molecule: ribosomal RNA, 253 nt
Filed under: uncultured bacterium
Lineage: Bacteria
Description: partial 16S ribosomal RNA
Rfam family: Bacterial small subunit ribosomal RNA
Source: RNAcentral
UACGGAGGGUGCGAGCGUUGUUCGGAAUCACUGGGCGUAAAGCGCGUGUAGGCGGCCUCUUAAGUCCGAUGUGAAAGCCCGGGGCUCACCCCCGGAAGUGCAUUGGAUACUGAGAGGCUGGAGUACCGGAGAGGAGGGUGGAAUUCCUGGUGUAGCGGUGAAAUGCGUAGAUAUCAGGAGGAACACCUGUGGCGAAGGCGGCCCUCUGGACGGAUACUGACGCUGAGACGCGAAAGCGUGGGGAGCAAACAGG